This is a small nuclear RNA of Tachysurus fulvidraco (yellow catfish), 168 nucleotides long. RefSeq annotates it as U1 spliceosomal RNA. The transcript has a single exon. NCBI's taxonomy places the organism in Eukaryota, Metazoa, Chordata, Actinopteri, Siluriformes, Bagridae. The record is from RefSeq and is a predicted model, not a curated record.
AUACUUACCUGGCAGGAGAGAUACCAUGAUCAAGAAGGUGGUUCACCCAGGGUGAGGCUCAGCCAUUGCACCAUUGCACUCUGUUGUGACCCAUGUGAAUUCCCCAAAUGUGGGAAUCUCGACUGCAUAAUUUCUGGUAGUGGGGGACUGCGUUCACGCUCUCCCCUG